AUACGUAGGGAGCGAGCGUUGUCCGGAAUUACUGGGCGUAAAGGGCGCGUAGGCGGCGCUUCAAGUCGUCUGUCAAAUGGGAGGGCUUAACCCUUUUUCGCAGACGAAACUGGAGAGCUUGAGAAGCAGAGAGGCAAACAGAAUUCCUGGUGUAGCGGUGAAAUGCGUAGAUAUCAGGAAGAAUACCAGUGGCGAAGGCGGUUUGCUGGCUGCAUACUGACGCUGAAGCGCGAAAGCCAGGGGAGCAAACGGGAUUAUAUACCCCGGUAGUCCUGGCAGUAAACGAUGUAUGCUGGGUGUGAGACUAGCGAUAGUUUCGUGCCGAAGUUAACGCGAUAAGCAUACCGCCUGGGGAGUACGGUCGCAAGAUUGAAACUCAAAUGAAUUGACGGGG
This 394-nucleotide ribosomal RNA is filed under the name uncultured bacterium. RNAcentral's name for it is "partial 16S ribosomal RNA". It matches the Rfam family "Bacterial small subunit ribosomal RNA", at positions 523 to 918 of the family's 1533-position model. The record is from RNAcentral.